RNAcentral lists this ribosomal RNA (468 nucleotides) under uncultured bacterium. Its description in RNAcentral is "partial 16S ribosomal RNA". It matches the Rfam family "Bacterial small subunit ribosomal RNA", at positions 28 to 507 of the family's 1533-position model. The record is from RNAcentral.
GACGAACGCUGGCGGCGUGCUUAACGCAUGCAAGUCGAACGGAAAGGCCCUGCUUUUGUGGGGUGCUCGAGUGGCGAACGGGUGAGUAACACGUGAGUAACCUGCCCUUGACUUUGGGAUAACUUCAGGAAACUGGGGCUAAUACCGGAUAGGAGCUCCUGCUGCAUGGUGGGGGUUGGAAAGUUUCGGCGGUUGGGGAUGGACUCGCGGCUUAUCAGCUUGUUGGUGGGGUAGUGGCUUACCAAGGCUUUGACGGGUAGCCGGCCUGAGAGGGUGACCGGCCACAUUGGGACUGAGAGACGGCCCAGACUCCUACGGGAGGCAGCAGUGGGGAAUAUUGCACAAUGGGCGGAAGCCUGAUGCAGCAACGCCGCGUGCGGGAUGACGGCCUUCGGGUUGUAAACCGCUUUCGCCUGUGACGAAGCGUGAGUGACGGUAAUGGGUAAAGAAGCACCGGCUAACUACGUG